This 669-nucleotide long non-coding RNA is filed under the name Pan troglodytes (chimpanzee). RNAcentral's name for it is "lincRNA". The record is from RNAcentral. Lineage: Eukaryota; Metazoa; Chordata; Mammalia; Primates; Hominidae.
GAAGCCAAAUAAAGCGCAUGCUGUGUACAGAGGGUGUCGAGAAUGUGUCCUACGUGACGGAAAGCAGAUCCGUGGUUCCCUGCAGACUGGCAGGAGCAGAUUCCAAAGGCACAGGAAGAAGCUUGCAGGUUUCCUUAACGACAACAAAAAAGGGAGUAAUCCUACCUACUGUAAGAGUCAUGACUCUUGAUUGCAGCUGACAGAAACUCAUGACAGCCUGGUUUAGAUAAAGGGGGAGAGAAGGACUGGAAGAAUCUUGGAGUUGGGAAUGUCGCACGUAAUUGAAGGAAGAACAAGAAAACUAUAGCAGCUAUUCCCAACCCCAGAACCUUUGCUGUCUUGGAACAGAUCACCACUGCAAGAGGGGAAGUUGCUACUGUGAUGAAUUCUGCCAUGUGGUACCAGACUGCUACCCAGACCACAGUGUCCUCUGCAACCCUCGUAACUCACAUACAGGCCUGAUUCCACCUACAGCAAAGCUGGAUGCUAUGGUUGGCAGAGGCAAACCCUUUGCCUGCACUUCAGGCCAAAGCCGGGAUGUGGCCUAGAUGGUUCCUAAGGUCCCUGACAAUCCUGAGAUCUUGCAUCUUGUCUAUUUCAGGUCAAAGCUUCUCAGAUGACCAAGAUGGUGCUGCAGAUGGUGCUGAGGAUGGAGAACCCACCAAGCCC